UACGAAGGGGGCUAGCGUUGCUCGGAAUCACUGGGCGUAACGGGUGCGUAGGCGGGUUUUUAAGUCAGAGGGGAAAUCCUGGAGCUCAACUCCAGAACUGCCUUUGAUACUGAAAGUCUUGAGUAUGGGAGAGGUGAGUGGAACUGCGAGUGUAGAGGUGAAAUUCGUAGAUAUUCGCAAGAACACCAGUGGCGAAGGCGGCUCACUGGCCCAUAACUGACGCUGAGGCACGAAAGCGUGGGGAGCAAACAGG
This 253-nucleotide ribosomal RNA is filed under the name uncultured bacterium. RNAcentral's name for it is "partial 16S ribosomal RNA". It matches the Rfam family "Bacterial small subunit ribosomal RNA", at positions 524 to 776 of the family's 1533-position model. The record is from RNAcentral.